GACGAACGCUGGCGGCGUGCUUAACACAUGCAAGUCGAACGGAAAGGCCCUGCUUUUGUGGGGUGCUCGAGUGGCGAACGGGUGAGUAACACGUGAGUAACCUGCCCUUGACUUUGGGAUAACUUCAGGAAACUGGGGCUAAUACCGGAUAGGAGCUCCUGCUGCAUGGUGGGGGUUGGAAAGUUUCGGCGGUCGGGGAUGGACUCGCGGCUUAUCAGCUUCUUGGUGGGGUAGUGGCUUACCCAGGCUUUGACGGGUAGCCGGCCUGAGAGGGUGACCGGCCACAUUGGGACUGAGAUACGGCCCAGACUCCUACGGGAGGCAGCAGUGGGGAAUAUUGCACAAUGGGCGGAAGCCUGAUGCAGCAACGCCGCGUGCGGGAUGACGGCCUUCGGGUUGUAAACCGCUUUCGCCUGUGACGAAGCGUGAGUGACGGUAAUGGGUAAAGAAGCACCGGCUAACUACGUG
Molecule: ribosomal RNA, 468 nt
Filed under: uncultured bacterium
Lineage: Bacteria
Description: partial 16S ribosomal RNA
Rfam family: Bacterial small subunit ribosomal RNA
Source: RNAcentral